UUUUCUUUUCGGUAACUUAACCGAGAAGGAGGGAAUUCGGGAAGAUGGGGUUUAGGGAGGCGUCGAAGAUUUUACGUAUGGAAGGUCAAGGUGUGGUUUACAGAGAGAGAGAGAGAGAGAGGGAGGAGGAGGAUCUGCAGUUUCGUGUUUCUACGAACGAUGAGAGAGAAGCGAGCGAGAGAGAGAGAGAGAGAGGGUAUGGGGGGUCAAGCUGUGAAAGUGAAGAGAGAGAAGAUAGAGGCAAGCACGAAAUGCCCAAUCUGUAAUAAGCUCAUCAAGGAAGCCACCACCAUCUCUCUCUGCCUCCACACAUGCUGCAUUGUAAUUGGCUGGCUUCUUGAUUUGUGCGUGUUUCCUACGUGGGGCUGUGUUUGCUAUGCAUUUUGUCGUGUGCUCAAUUUACGUGGAAGCAAAGAGGAAAUGCAUAUACAAGAAGCUGUCCGAUGAGGAGGUAGAUUGCUGCCCAGUGUGCAAUAUCGAUCUCGGAUGUCUCUCGGUGGAGAAACUAAGAAAGUGCGUGACAACUUCAAGGCCCGACCACAAUUUGCCAGACAUUAGAGCUAAAAUUUUCCCCCUAAAGAGAAGAAAAAUAAAUGCCCCUGAACUGUUGGCCCCCGGCCCCACCACAGCCGAAGAAGAAGGAGAGGUUGCUCUCCUCUUUGGUGCGCAUUACAAUUGCCGAGGUCAUUGAACACGAAUGGUUCAAGGAAGGAUGUGAGCCUCCAGCCAAAGAAAGCUGCCUUGAUGACGGGACAAAAAAUGCUGCUUUCAUCAACUCAUCAUCAGGGUAUCAGGCUGGUGAUCCGGAAAAUAAUCUUGUCGACAAGCAGCUGAGGCGAAAAAGAGGACCUGCUAGUACUGCUGGCCCUGUCAGUAGUGUCAAUGCAUUUGACCUCUUAUCAACAUCACAGGGUCUCAACCUCAGUUCUCCUUUCGAAAAUCAAAUGGUAGUCGAUCUUCAAGCUUGCACUAUUAUAUUUGUUGUGUGUGUGUGUAUAUAUAUAUUCAAAGGCUGCUGUCUUCUCUCUCUCUCUCUCUCUCUCUCUCUCCAGACAUGUAUACAUAAAUUGGUCUCUCUGAUUGUAUCCUUUGUGGAGGAAAGGAGCCUGUGGAAAAGGAGAUGAGAUUUAUAUUGAACCGCCCAGCCCAUGAGAUAACCUCAAAGAUUGAACACACCGCGAAGGCAUUGGGUUUCGAUGUUGUGAAGAAAGUAAAAAACAAGGUAUUUGCUCCCUAUAUAAGCUAGCUAGGUAUAUAUAUAGGACUCAAAUUGUUUUCACAGAAUAUAUGCAGUGUGUGUGUUUUUUUUUUUUUUAUCUUGGGCUGGUUGUGUUCUGAUUGUUUGAUGGAUGGACACCGUUGCCGUGUACCUAAACACAAAUGAAGUUGCUGAGGUAGAAAAACGGACGACGAAAAAGUCAUUUAGCUGUUUUGA
This is a non-coding RNA of Punica granatum (pomegranate), 1435 nucleotides long. The record is from RefSeq and is a predicted model, not a curated record. Lineage: Eukaryota; Viridiplantae; Streptophyta; Magnoliopsida; Myrtales; Lythraceae.